AGGGCACCACCAGGAGUGGAGCCUGCGGCUUAAUUUGACUCAACACGGGGAAACUCACCCGGCCCGGACACCGUAAGGAUUGACAGAUUGAUAGCUUUUUCAUGAUUCGGUGGAUGGUGGUGCAUGGCCGUUCUUAGUUCGUGGAGCGAUUUGUCUGGUUUAUUCCGAUAACGAGCGAGACUCUAGCCUACUAAAUAGUUCGCACAUUGUCUCUGUGUGUGUGACUUCUUAGAGGGAUUUUCGGUGUUCAGCCGCACGAAAUUGAGCUAUAACAGGUCUGUGAUGCCCUUAGAUGUCCGGGGCUGCACGCGCGCUACACUGGCAAAAUCAGCGUGCUUGUCCUUCCCCGAAAGGGGUUGGUAAACCCUUGAAAAUUUGCCGUGAUUGGGAUUGGAAAUUGCAAUUAUUUUCCAUGAACGAGGAAUUCCAAGUAAGUGCGAGUCAUCAGCUCGCGUUGAUUACGUCCCUGCCCUUUGUACACACCGCCCGUCGCUGCCCGGGACUGAGCCAUUUCGAGAA
This 519-nucleotide ribosomal RNA is filed under the name uncultured eukaryote. RNAcentral describes it as "SSU rRNA". It matches the Rfam family "Eukaryotic small subunit ribosomal RNA", at positions 1161 to 1705 of the family's 1831-position model. The record is from RNAcentral.